CAUUGCAUAUUGCAUAUCAUGUGGUUACAUUGUGCAAGUAAUCCUCCCAAGUCUUGAUCAGAAGAUGAGGAAGUCAAAGUGCAAAGCUAGGGUUUUAUUGGACUGGUCAUUGAUCAUCUGAGGGUGUGCAAGUCCAAAUUAGGGUUUCAUGAUUCUCAAGGGAUAAUGGUCUUCAUCAUGAUUACAAUGAUUAAUCAUCAUCAUCAU
Molecule: long non-coding RNA, 207 nt
Filed under: Lathyrus oleraceus (garden pea)
Lineage: Eukaryota; Viridiplantae; Streptophyta; Magnoliopsida; Fabales; Fabaceae
Description: Pisum sativum (pea) long non-coding RNA (PSAT_LNC035573)
Source: RNAcentral